This 483-nucleotide ribosomal RNA is filed under the name uncultured bacterium. RNAcentral's name for it is "partial 16S ribosomal RNA". It matches the Rfam family "Bacterial small subunit ribosomal RNA", at positions 30 to 507 of the family's 1533-position model. The record is from RNAcentral.
UUGAACGCUGGCGGCAGGCCUAACACAUGCAAGUCGAGCGGAUGAAGGGAGCUUGCUCCUGGAUUCAGCGGCGGACGGGUGAGUAAUGCCUAGGAAUCUGCCUGGUAGUGGGGGAUAACGUCCGGAAACGGGCGCUAAUACCGCAUACGUCCGGAGGGAGAAAGUGGGGGAUCUUCGGACCUCACGCUAUCAGAUGAGCCUAGGUCGGAUUAGCUAGUUGGUGGGGUAAAGGCCUACCAAGGCGACGAUCCGUAACUGGUCUGAGAGGAUGAUCAGUCACACUGGAACUGAGACACGUUCCAGACUCCUACGGGAGGCAGCAGUGGGGAAUAUUGGACAAUGGGCGAAAGCCUGAUCCAGCCAUGCCGCGUGUGUGAAGAAGGUCUUCGGAUUGUAAAGCACUUUAAGUUGGGAGGAAGGGCAGUAAGUUAAUACCUUGCUGUUUUGACGUUACCAACAGAAUAAGCACCGGCUAACUUCGUG